UUUUCCAGACAAACCCACGGCGAAGAUCGAGCCGCACCCUCAGUACCCGCGGGAGGGGGAGAAGCUGCAGCUGCAAUGUGACGGCCAGGGCAACCCCAUCCCGCAGGAAUUCCUCUGGGAGAAGGAGGGCAGCGACGCCCCCCUGCAGCUGAGCUCCGACAGCGUCCUCAUCUUCCCCUUCCUCAACAAGAGCGACAGCGGCACCUACGUGUGCACGGCCACCAGCUCCAUGGGCAGCGUGGUGGCCAAGUACAACCUGGACGUCAGCGGUGAGUGCGGCCCUGCUGCCACCGGGUGCCCAAAAUGUGGCACUGUGUUAUCUCUGUCACCUGUGUGCCCACAGAGUGGCACUGUGUCACCUGUGCAUCAUGUGUGCCCAAAAUGUGGCACUGUGUCACCUGUGUGCCCAAAAUGUGGCACUGUGUGUCACCCGUGUGCCCAAAACAUCCUGUGUGCCCAAAAUGUGGCACUGUGUCAUCCCUGUCACCUGUGGGUGAGGGCAUUGCAUCCUGUGUGCCCAAAAGGUGGCACUGUGUCACCCAUGUGCCCAAAAAGUUGUCACCGUGUCACCUGUGCAUCCUGUGUGCCCAAAAUGUGUCACUGUGUCACCUGUCCUGGGGUGGGAAGGGGCAGCUCCUGCUGCUCCCCACGUGGUGCUGUCCCCUGACUGUGCUGUUUGUCCCCAUGCCAUGUGUCACACAUGGGCCAGAGCUGUGUGUGUCCCCAUGUCCCCAUGCCAUGUGUCACACGUGGGACAGGGCUCUCUGUGUGUCCCAAUGCCAUGUGUCACACGUGGUUCAGGGCCGUGUGUGUCCCCGUGUCCCCAUGCCAUGUGUCACACAUGGAACUGAGCUGUGUGUGUCCCCAUGUCCCCAUGCCAUGUGCCACACAUGGGGCAGAGCUGUGUGUCCCCAUGUCCCCAUGCCAUGUGUCACACAUGGGGCAGGGCUGGCAUGCUCAGUGUCCCCAUGUCCCCAUGCCAUGUGUCACACAUGGUUCAGGGUCAUGUGUGUCCCCAUGUCCCCAUGCCAUGUGUCACACAUGGGGCAGAGCUGUGUGUGUCCCCAUGUCCCCAUGCCAUGUGUCACACAUGGUUCAGGGUCAUGUGUGUCCCCAUGUCCCCAUGCCAUGUGUCACACAUGGGACAGAGCUCUGUGUGUCCCCAUGUCCCCAUGCCAUGUGUCACACAUGGAGCAGGACUGGCAUGCUCAGUGUCCCCAUGUCCCCAUGCCAUGUGUCACACAUGGAGCAGGGCCAUGUGUGUCCCCAUGUCCCCAUGCCACGUGUCACCCAUGGUUCAGGGCCAUGUGUGUCCCCAUGUCCCCAUGCCAUGUGUCACACAUGGAGCAGGACUGGCAUGCUCAGUGUCCCCAUGUCCCCAUGCCACGUGUCACACGUGGUUCAGGGCUGUGUGUGCUGUGUGCUGCUGCC
RNAcentral lists this long non-coding RNA (1431 nucleotides) under Zonotrichia albicollis (white-throated sparrow). Its description in RNAcentral is "lncRNA (ENSZALG00000002744.1)". The record is from RNAcentral. Lineage: Eukaryota; Metazoa; Chordata; Aves; Passeriformes; Passerellidae.